AUCCCUAAUCUCUCCUAUCCCUAACACAAAAUCGAUUUUCAAACCCAUGAACAUAGAUUUUGAUGAAAUCGAUUCCAACCCAAUUCGAUUUCUUCGGUUUCAACAGAUUUUGAGAUAAAAGAGAUUUCGAUUUCUAUCUUAUCCCUAAACCCAAUUCGAUUUUCUCGCCAUCCCUAAUCUCUCCUAUCCGUAAAACCGAUUUGGAUGAAAAGAGAUUUCGAUUUCUGUUGACUCUGUUUGUAGUUCGAGAAUUUGCUACUAUCAGUAUACGGAUUUUGAGGGUUUAUUUGGACUGAUGUCCUCCUGAUCAACGAAGUGUUAUCAUAGGCUGCUCUUCAAGAUUUUUCUUUCGAGUUGCUUUGGCAAGUUUGUGAAGAUUCAGUUUGAUCAGAAGGGAAGGAUUUCAGGGGCUGCUAUUAGAACGUACUUAUUGGAAAGAUCUUGUGUACAUCUCGAAAGGAAUUAUCAUUGCUUCUACAUGCUUUCUGUUGUACCACCAGAGGAUUCUGCAUGUAUUAUACCAGACAUAAGACGAUUAUCGAAGACCUUAUCAAUGAGUUGAUCAAGAAGGUAUCCCAGAUAUGUCGCAGUCCCUGAAGUGCCUACACUGAAGAAAGGAGGAAGAAGAAAAAGACCUUUAAGCCUAAUAAUGGACCAUCCCUGAGGAAUGAACAUGAAACAAAGUUCUCCUUAGUUGAAGUCAUGAAGGCUUCGAAGAAGCCAGACAUCUCUAUGCUGAAUCUCUCAGUGCCAGCGAAGGGUCCCUAUAUACCCAAUACUGUGCAUAUGAAG
This is a long non-coding RNA of Cynara cardunculus var. scolymus (artichoke), 792 nucleotides long. RefSeq lists it as uncharacterized. NCBI's taxonomy places the organism in Eukaryota, Viridiplantae, Streptophyta, Magnoliopsida, Asterales, Asteraceae. The record is from RefSeq and is a predicted model, not a curated record. The transcript is spliced from 4 exons.